CAGCAGCCGCCGCGGUAAUACGAAGGGGGCUAGCGUUGUUCGGAAUUACUGGGCGUAAAGCGCACGUAGGCGGAUAUUUAAGUCAGGGGUGAAAUCCCAGAGCUCAACUCUGGAACUGCCUUUGAUACUGGGUAUCUUGAGUAUGGAAGAGGUUAGUGGAAUUGCGAGUGUAGAGGUGAAAUUCGUAGAUAUUCGCAGGAACACCAGUGGCGAAGGCGGCUAACUGGUCCAUAACUGACGCUGAGGUGCGAAAGCGUGGGGAGCAAACAGGAUUAGAUACCCCCGUAGUCCCUGUCUCUUAUAC
This 304-nucleotide ribosomal RNA is filed under the name uncultured bacterium. RNAcentral's name for it is "partial 16S ribosomal RNA". It matches the Rfam family "Bacterial small subunit ribosomal RNA", at positions 506 to 807 of the family's 1533-position model. The record is from RNAcentral.